UUUUUAGUUCCUAGUGAAGUAAAUGAUUUAUGAACUUGAACUUGUUCCGGAGAGUAAGGCUAAGUUCUCAGAUAUAAUUAAAGAAAGAUGCAUAUAUCUAUCAGAAAUAUUGUUAAAAAGGUCUUCUAAUUUAGCCGUAGGAACUCUUGCUUUUAUACGACCUCUAUCCUCAGAUAACGUAAGGUGUUCGUGUGCUCGAGUUUGGUGCUCUAAAUUUCUAAACUCUAACGAAUGUAUAGUUAGUUCUGGCAUAAGACAUUACUUAGAGGAGAGUUUUGGGAGUAAACUACUCGUAACUCGUGUUUUAAACGCUCAAAUACUAUUGGCCGAUAAGAUAACUUUAACUUCCUGUGUGGCUGAUGAGUUGAUGGCUCCUUUAAAGUCGUAUAUACGCGUGACUUUAAGAAACUUUUACCUAUGCAAUAAAGAAAAAAUUGAGAUAUCUGUGUCUGGGAAGCGGAUGGAUUUUACUUGUGUCAUAAAUGAAGACAUCGAUGCUUUUAACGAUCUCAGCAGUUCUUUUGCCAGCCUUAAUAUUUUAACCUCCAAAAACAUCAAACUUACAGCGGUCUAUAAAGUCACGAGCGAAACUAGCUUUGAACUUACUUGUGUAAAGGAAAAACCAUGCAAUGAAGUUCAACAGUCGAAAGUGAACUUUCACGACAUUGGCGGAUUAGAUUCCGAACUGGAAGAGAUUCGCUCCUUUUUAAAAGUUCCCCUAUUAUCUUCAGAAUUGUUUCUAGAUUUUGGCUUUGUUCCGCCGAAAGGGCUACUUUUAUAUGGCCCACCUGGUACUGGAAAAACUCUUAUUGCUAAAGCCAUAGCUAAUGAAAUGCGCGUCAACUUCAUUACGAUUAACGCAACCGAAGUCUUAGCAAAGUUUUACGGACAAUCAGAAGCAAAACUGCGAAGUGUAUUCCACACAGCUGCGCAGUCUUCUCCUUGCAUCAUAUUUAUAGAUGAAGUUGAUGCGCUUUGUCCCAAGCGGGAACACGCCGAAACAGAAGUGGAGAAGCGGGUGGUGACCACUAUGCUUUCAUUGCUGGAUUCCAUCUCUAACGGAGAGAAGCAAAACUGCCGAGUGGUAGUCAUUGGCGCCACAAAUGCUCCCGAUCGGCUUGACUCGGCUCUGCGCCGACCAGGCAGGUUUGACCGCGAGAUAGAAAUCGGCAUUCCCAAUAGUAAACAGCGCCUCUGCAUACUGAAAAGGCUUCUCGCUAAAACGCCCCAUACAGUCUCUGAUUCGCAGUUGGAAUCCAUCAGCGCCCUCAUGCAUGGUUACGUCGGAGCUGACGUAUCUUCUCUUUGCAAAGAGGCUGGGCUGCUGGCUGUUAAGAGGACCAUGUGUUCUACUGGUGAAGAGGACUCGGCUGGACUUUCCGAUUUGGUUGUUACUGAAGCCGACCUGCGGAAAGCGUUAACAUUAGUUCGCCCGAGCGCCAUGCGCGCGGUUGUUGUGGAUGUCCCACAGGUGUACUGGAGCGACAUUGGCGGGCAGGAGGACACCAAGCAGAAGUUACGCGAAGCGGUCACGUGGCCUCUCCUCCACCCCGAGGCGUUCCUGCGGAUGGGCAUACGGCCUCCUAAAGGCGUGCUUUUGUAUGGUCCGCCAGGCUGCUCAAAGACGCUUCUAGCGAAGGCUCUUGCUACUGAGUCGCAGCUGAACUUCAUAUCCGUGAAGAGCUCAGAUCUUUUUAGUAAAUGGGUCGGGGAGAGCGAGAAGGCCAUGAAAGAGUUCUUUCGAAAAGCUCGUGCGGCAUCGCCUUGCAUUAUAUUUUUUGACGAGCUUGACGCUAUUGCGGGAAAACGGGGUAGAGACAGCGGAGAGAACAGCGUGGCAGACCGCGUGUUGACACAGCUUUUGAACGAGCUAGACGGUGUCGAGCCUUUAAAAAACGUGACGUUUUUAGCGGCGAGCAACCGACCGGACGCUAUAGAUCCUGCCUUGAUGCGGCCCGGAAGAAUCGACCGUAUACUUUUUGUAGCGCCUCCCGACGAAUCUUCAAGAAGAGAAAUUUUUACUAUUCACCUGAAAAAGAUGCCUAAUGACUUAACAGACGUUGAAGUGGAUGAACUCGCGAGGAAAACAUCCUUUUUUUCCGGUGCCGAGAUCGUGGCUGUCUGCCGAGAGGCCGCGAUGGAAGCCUUGAGACGAGAUAACGACACCACUUGUAUAAGAUAUUCGGACUUUGAAAAAAGUUUGUGCUCGUUUCAGCCUCAAAUUACAGAAAGCAUGAUGAAGUAUUACUUGAACUACUCGACGGGGAGACUAUGAAUCCACACUGCAACAAGAAACGUUUCGUCGGUGAUGCGGUUCUUCGUUUUGAGACACGUACCAGCGAAAGAUUGUGUACGGUAAGGUCAAUUACGUAACCUCCAAAGAUUGAAAAGAUAACCACGUCGAUGAGAAUCGAAGCGAUAACUCUUAAUACCGAUGCGACGCCUUUACUACACGAGAAAUAAAACUAUGCUCCACGUAAUGAUCACCUCCUAAACUAACAAAAAAACGUGUCUUCGCAGCUGAACGGUUAAAAGCAUAGACGCGUACUCUGGUUGGGGUGUUCAAACUCCGACUAUGUGGCUCUUCUUUUGAGAUUUGCUUAUUGCUAUUUGGCUCACAUCAAAGUUGUAACAGUGCUCUGCAUUCAUCAGCGAAGUGGCCGAGCUGGAUGCUCUUAAACAAACUAUUUACUUAGAUUUUAUCCAAGAUCCUGAAGUUUGCAAAAAGAAAGCUAUAUUAGAAGACGACUUCCUUUGUGAAGUAUGGUUGACGGAAUCCAUUUAAGCACUGGUUACAUCCUUCUGGUAGUGUCAUGAAGGUCGUUUCGUAUAUGCAAGCGGGAAUGUUAAUUCCAGACCCUGUUUGAGGGUUGAAAUUUUCCAUGAAGGCUAAUAACCAAAUCCGUAACUUUGCUUACAAGCCUGUCUCUUUACAUUCGUAAAUACCAUGGAGAAUCCGCAUGAGCAGCAGCAAGCGGUGAUUUCCUAUUCAUUUCAAUAGUGUCGCUGCGAUUGCAAUUCUUAUUUAAUUUUGGCAGGUGUUGAUUGAAAGAAUAACUGCCAACGUUGAAAAACUUUGUGAAACUAUUGCACAAAUUAAUGAAACCCUUGAGGAAGCUGAAUUUUACAAAGCUGAAAUUAGUUAUGUUAGUCAGGUUUGGGCGGGUUAUGCACGAAACUUAAGAAUUAAU
RNA transcript from Zophobas morio, 3191 nucleotides. It is a transcript of the gene named ATPase family gene 2 protein homolog A-like, with no coding region annotated. The record is from RefSeq and is a predicted model, not a curated record. Lineage: Eukaryota; Metazoa; Arthropoda; Insecta; Coleoptera; Tenebrionidae. The transcript is spliced from 31 exons.